This 253-nucleotide ribosomal RNA is filed under the name uncultured bacterium. RNAcentral's name for it is "partial 16S ribosomal RNA". It matches the Rfam family "Bacterial small subunit ribosomal RNA", at positions 524 to 776 of the family's 1533-position model. The record is from RNAcentral.
UACAGAGGUCUCAAGCGUUGUUCGGAUUCAUUGGGCGUAAAGGGUGCGUAGGCGGCGCGGUAAGUCGGGUGUGAAAUCUCGGAGCUUAACUCCGAAACUGCAUUCGAUACUGCCGUGCUUGAGGACUGGAGAGGAGACUGGAAUUUACGGUGUAGCGGUGAAAUGCGUAGAUAUCGUAAGGAAGACCAGUGGCGAAGGCGGGGUCUCUGGACAGUUCCUGACGCUGAGGCACGAAGGCCAGGGAGCAAACGGG